RNAcentral lists this long non-coding RNA (469 nucleotides) under Taeniopygia guttata (zebra finch). RNAcentral describes it as "lncRNA (ENSTGUG00000019869.1)". Lineage: Eukaryota; Metazoa; Chordata; Aves; Passeriformes; Estrildidae. The record is from RNAcentral.
UGUGGCUAUGUUCCUGACUGUGAAAUGGCUCAGUGCCAGUAGAAGCUGUGCAGAGCUUUCCUGCCCGGGGUGUGCAAAGGCUUGGUGGUGGGAUUCCUAUCCAUGGAUGCUGCAGAAGUUUUGCCCUGUGAAAUGAGCCUGUUUUCUUUGGAGAAGAAUGAAGAAGGAAAGCCUCAAAUACAUGGAUAUAAUUGUCUUCAUUAAAAGCUGGCUGAAAAGACUUUAUCCUGUGGGGUCUACUUUCUGUCUCUCUGAGCCUGAAUCUGCAAUUCAAAGCAAUGGGAUCAAGAGAACUGGAAGGGAGAGGUUUCUGUGCUUACAUCACCACCCGACUGCAAUUCCACUAAAGACCUCAGCAAAGCAGAGCUGUUGGCUCCUAAGGACUGAGUAUGGCAUAUCCCUGGCAUCACCUGAUUGCACAGUGGCAUUUUAGGAUUUCCCAGGUAAAAAUAUCUAUGUUUGAGACUUA